RNA transcript from Cavia porcellus (domestic guinea pig), 2552 nucleotides. It is a transcript of the gene named neuroplastin, with no coding region annotated. The transcript has 10 exons. NCBI's taxonomy places the organism in Eukaryota, Metazoa, Chordata, Mammalia, Rodentia, Caviidae. The record is from RefSeq and is a predicted model, not a curated record.
UAUGGCCAGGCCGCGUGUUCUCGCGAUGUUUGCUGCUGUCGCCCCUGUGCCGCCCACGGCCGGGAGCGAAGGUCUCGCGAGGCUUGGGCGCUGCGGCGGUUGGAGGAGGACGGGGAAGGACGGAGCCGAGCCACGGCUGCCUCCCUCGCUGACUCCCUCGCGCGCACGCCCACCCCCUCCCUCCCUCCCCUCCCUUCCCCCGCCCCGACCCAUUCGCUGUUCUGUCUUGUGCUAGGGAGGAUGUCGGGCUCCUCGCUCCCUAGCGCCUUGGCCCUCUCGCUGGUGCUGGUCUCUCUCUCCCUCCUCCCAGGGCCGGGCGUUGCUCAGAACGCUGGGUUUGUCAAGUCGCCCAUGUCAGAAACUAAGCUCACGGGGGACGCCUUUGAGCUGUACUGUGACGUGGUCGGGAGCCCCACGCCAGAGAUCCAGUGGUGGUACGCAGAAGUCAACCGGGCAGAGUCUUUCAGACAGCUGUGGGACGGUGCUCGGAAGCGCCGUGUCACCGUAAACACCGCCUACGGGUCAAACGGCGUGAGUGUGCUGAGAAUAACCCGGCUCACCUUGGAGGACUCUGGGACUUACGAGUGCAGGGCCAGCAACGACCCCAAGAGGAAUGACUUGAGGCAAAACCCUUCCAUAACAUGGAUUCGAGCCCAGGCCACCAUAAGCGUCCUUCAGAAGCCAAGGAUUCUCACCAGUGAAGAGGUCAUUAUAAGAGAAAGCCCCGGUCCUGUCACCCUCCAGUGUAACCUCACCUCCAACUCUCACACCCUUGCAUUCAGCUACUGGACAAAGAAUGGGGUAGAACUGACUGCCACUCGUAAGAAUGCCAGCAACAUGGAAUACAGGAUCAAUAAGCCACGAGCUGAGGAUUCAGGCGAAUACCACUGUGUAUAUCAUUUUGUCAACGCUCCUAAAGCAAAUGCCACCAUCGAAGUGAAAGCUGCUCCUGAUAUCACUGGCCACAAACGGAGUGAGAAUAAGAAUGAGGGGCAGGAUGCCAUGAUGUAUUGCAAAUCAGUUGGCUACCCCUACCCAGAGUGGAUAUGGCGCAAGAAGGAGAAUGGUAUGCUCGUGGACAUUGUCAAUUCCUCUGGCCGCUUCUUCAUUACCAACAAGGAGAAUUACACUGAGCUGAGUAUUACAAAUCUCCAGAUCACAGAAGACCCUGGCGAGUAUGAAUGUAAUGCGACCAACUCUGUCGGCACUGCCUCUGUUGUCACAAUCCUCAGGGUACGGAGCCACCUGGCCCCACUCUGGCCUUUUUUGGGAAUUUUGGCUGAAAUUAUCAUCCUUGUGGUGAUCAUUGUUGUGUAUGAGAAGAGGAAGAGGCCAGAUGAGGUUCCCGACGUUACAGACAGAUGCAUAUACAUACCUACCUUCUUUUGGAAUGAAUGAAGAGACAGACACAUUCUGAAACAAACUUGGGGAGUUAGAAGAGAUGAUGAACCAGCUGGGCCAAUGAAAACCAACUCUACCAACAAUCACAAAGAUAAAAACUUGCGCCAGAGAAACACAAAUUAAAUACUGCUUACAAUAUCUUUAGGUUCCUGAAACUGGGGGCAUCAUGACCUGCUCAAUUUUCUGCUUGGACCUCUUUGAUCUCUCCCCUUCAAGUGAGCAACACAAUGACCGUCUAAAGCAUGCCUUAUUUAGCCUCUCCUCUAAGGAUGACCUAGCCAGAUACAUUCUAAACAAUGCUUCAUUGUAGAAGGUGUAAACUAUUUUGGGCUUGAUGUGCUGUGAAUGUUGCUUUUUUUCCUUUGUUAAAAUAUUUAAAUAGAAGUGAAAAGGUCCUUGGAGGAUCAGAUCCUGCAUGCGCCAUUUUUUACUUAAUGCAGCUGUUAAAUUGGCAAAGCUCUAAAGUGCACUGCUGCCAUCCAGUGGUACAUUUUUGUAAAGUACAGCAAACCUACAGAUAUAUACAGUAUAUAAAUAUAUAUAUCUAUAUUUAUAUUUUUGGGGAUGGGAAAUCCAAAAUAAAUGCUUGUUUCAUUUUUAAGCUGCUGAUACUCAUUCCUUAUUGUAUGUUAUUGGAUGAGGAAACUGCAGUUCCUGGUACAUAAAGAUAAGUAAUAUAAAGUCUGUAAAUUAAGGGCUUAACCUAUUACUUUAAGAAGCUGGAAAAAGUCCAGUGAAUGGAUGUAAUGAAUUGCAGUAUAUAUGUAUGAUUGCUUUUUAAUAACUAUUUUUUCUUUGGUUUAAUCUGUAAAUUCUUAAAUCCUUUUGCACUGAUGUGUUGAACCUUACUCUUGUACAUUCAGUCAAGGCAAACUUUUAUAAUUUACCUUUUGUUUUCAAUGACCUUGACAUGUUAUAGCAUGGUGGGAUUCUAUGCAAGUAGUUAUACUUUUGGUUUGGCACUGUACUUUUUUUCACAUUGAUUUAAUGGUUGGUGGUAGAUUUUAUAACCUGACCGGGUUCUCAUGCAGUAUGUAACUAUAGAUGCAUGUCUUUGCGUUUUGUGUAAUUGUUGAAGUGCAAUGUUGUAUAAAAAGUGGAUUCACCUGUUUUUAACAAUAAAACAUUGAUAAAAGUUGUUUGGAAUAACA